AUUGAACGCUGGCGGCAGGCCUAACACAUGCAAGUCGAGCGGAUGAAGGGAGCUUGCUCCUGGAUUCAGCGGCGGACGGGUGAGUAAUGCCUAGGAAUCUGCCUGGUAGUGGGGGAUAACGUCCGGAAACGGGCGCUAAUACCGCAUACGUCCUGAGGGAGAAAGUGGGGGAUCUUCGGACCUCACGCUAUCAGAUGAGCCUAGGUCGGAUUAGCUAGUUGGUGGGGUAAAGGCCUACCAAGGCGACGAUCCGUAACUGGUCUGAGAGGAUGAUCAGUCACACUGGAACUGAGACACGGUCCAGACUCCUACGGGAGGCAGCAGUGGGGAAUAUUGGACAAUGGGCGAAAGCAUGAUCCAGCCAUGCCGCGUGUGUGAAGAGGGUCUUCGGAUUGUAAAGAACUUUAAGUUGGGAGGAAGGGCAGUAAGUUAAUACCUUGCUGUUUUGACGUUACCAACAGAAUAAGCACCGGCUAACUUCGUG
RNAcentral lists this ribosomal RNA (484 nucleotides) under uncultured bacterium. RNAcentral's name for it is "partial 16S ribosomal RNA". It matches the Rfam family "Bacterial small subunit ribosomal RNA", at positions 30 to 507 of the family's 1533-position model. The record is from RNAcentral.